GCAUUUAAAACAGCCCCCUCUUUAGCCCCUCCUCCCCUGUUUAACCAGAGGAGCAGCCUCCCUCCCCCUCACCUGUCUCACUCCCGAAGCCCUUCCCUUCCUUGACUGCCAAGUCUGGCAUCCCUUGAAGUGAAGCAAGAGAUUUCCAGGAAAAGAGUCUUUCCUACAUCCAGAAUGGGCCCUGCCCACCCAUGGGGCCCAUUUCCAAGACUGUGAACCAGGCCAUGUUUGCUUUUCCCACCCUUUCUCGCCCCCUUGACAUUUCCUUUCCAGCUGUUCCCCAAGGCCGGAGUCACCUCCCAUCCACUCCAGGAGACCCCUGGGAAAGGUCUCUUCUCUUCUCCUGGACCACAGAAGAGAGCUGAAGGAAGGGCGUGAAAUCAGAGACAGUGGGAGCAAGACAUUAGCCUGGAACCUUCUGUAACAUAGAACUGGACUCAAGGAAGCUGCCUUUCCUUCGCCUCUAGAAAGGCCACAGAGAGAAACACCACAACCGCUCCCCAGUUGGCUGAAUGAACAUUAGGCCAAUAA
Non-coding RNA from Phascolarctos cinereus (koala), 531 nucleotides. The record is from RefSeq and is a predicted model, not a curated record. NCBI's taxonomy places the organism in Eukaryota, Metazoa, Chordata, Mammalia, Diprotodontia, Phascolarctidae.